RNAcentral lists this ribosomal RNA (253 nucleotides) under uncultured bacterium. RNAcentral's name for it is "partial 16S ribosomal RNA". It matches the Rfam family "Bacterial small subunit ribosomal RNA", at positions 524 to 776 of the family's 1533-position model. The record is from RNAcentral.
UACAGAGGUCCCAAGCGUUGUUCGGAUUCAUUGGGCGUAAAGGGUGCGUAGGCGGCGCGGUAAGUCGGGUGUGAAAUCUCGGGGCUUAACUCCGAAACUGCAUUCGAUACUGCCGUGCUUGAGGACUGGAGAGGAGACUGGAAUUUACGGUGUAGCGGUGAAAUGCGUAGAUAUCUGCAGGAACACCCGUGGCGAAAGCGGCGCGCUGGACCACUACUGACGCUGAGGAACGAAAGCUAGGGGAGCAAACAGG